This 592-nucleotide ribosomal RNA is filed under the name Fuscoporia callimorpha. Its description in RNAcentral is "partial large subunit ribosomal RNA". It matches the Rfam family "Eukaryotic large subunit ribosomal RNA", at positions 77 to 649 of the family's 3401-position model. Lineage: Eukaryota; Fungi; Basidiomycota; Agaricomycetes; Hymenochaetales; Hymenochaetaceae. The record is from RNAcentral.
CCCCUAGUAACUGCGAGUGAAGCGGGAAAAGCUCAAAUUUAAAAUCUGGCGGUUUUGUCGCCCGAGUUGUAAUCUGGAGAAGCGUUUUCCGUGCCGGACCGUGUACAAGUUUCUUGGAACAGAGCGUCAUAGAGGGUGAGAAUCCCGUCCAUGACACGGACUCCCGGUGCUUUGUGAUACGCUCUCGAAGAGUCGAGUUGUUUGGGAAUGCAGCUCAAAAUGGGUGGUAAGCUCCAUCUAAAGCUAAAUAUUGGCGAGAGACCGAUAGCGAACAAGUACCGUGAGGGAAAGAUGAAAAGCACUUUGGAAAGAGAGUUAAACAGUACGUGAAAUUGUUGAAAGGGAAACGCUUGAAGUCAGUCGCGUCUUAUUUGACUCAGCCUUGCUUCGGCUUGGUGUAUUUCAAGUAGGAUGGGUCAACAUCGAUUUUGGCCGGUGGACAAGGGGUUAAGGAAUGUGGCACUCUUCGGAGUGUGUUAUAGCCUUUUCUCAUAUACAUCGGUUGGGAUUGAGGCCCGCAGCGCGCCCUUGUGGCCGGAGGUUCGCCUCACGUAACGCGCUUAGGAUGUUGGCAUAAUGGCUUUAAGCGACC